UCUUCUUAUCUUUCAAAGAUUCCUCAGAUGGGUAAACCUGACUUUGGAGGAAACACUUGAUGUCAUAAUACCACGGCUUUUCGUCUUUGACCUCUUCAACAGCAAACACAUGAGUUGGCCUAUCGAGACGCAUCACAUUCAAAUUAGGAACUUCAUUCCAAUUAUUCACUACAAUCAUGGAAGCCAACGUUGUAGGAGCAUCUGCCAUCCGAUUUUCAUCUCGAGGGAUAUGAUGAAACUUAACCUUUGAAAGAAAGUCG
This 260-nucleotide long non-coding RNA is filed under the name Lathyrus oleraceus (garden pea). RNAcentral's name for it is "Pisum sativum (pea) long non-coding RNA (PSAT_LNC005728)". Lineage: Eukaryota; Viridiplantae; Streptophyta; Magnoliopsida; Fabales; Fabaceae. The record is from RNAcentral.